GAGCCCAGUGUAUGACCUUGCUCCUCAUUGACUGGGGCACAUAAAACUUGCCUGGAGGUCUGUUACCAGGACCGGGGUCCGCCUUGAGGGCCUUCAAUACUUGGUCCCUGACUUCCCAUGUAACCUCUUCCAUAACACAUGCCGGGGGUAGAAUCGUGGAGGGUUCUGCGUCCUGAUCAGGGGAAUACUGUCUGGAGAGAUCGUCGGGCUUGGUGUUUUUGGAACCUGGACGAUAGGAAAUUUGGAAGUUAAACCGGGAAAAGAAAAGGGACCACCUGUAUUGACGUGGAUUGAGCCGUUGUGCCUCCUUUAGGUAAACCAAUUUCUUGUGGUCAGUCCAAAUGAUGAAUGGCCUAUCAGCGCCCUCCAACCAAUGCCUCCACUCCUCGACGGCAAGUUUUACAGCCAGCAGUUCGCGGUCCCCAACGUCGUAUCUGCUCUCAGCAGGUGUCAAACAACGCCAAAAGAAAGCAUAUGGAUGGAUGCGUUGAUCCGCCAGCGAGACCUGGGACAGCACAGCUCCCACCCCGGUGUCCGAGGCAUCCAUCUCAAGGGUGAAUUGACACAGCGGGUCUGGUCGGUGAAGCAUGGGAGCAUUGGUGAAUUUCUUCUUCAGGGUCUGGAAAGCUGUGUCUGCUUCUGGGUACCAAACAAAUGGUUUGUUAACAGAGGUCAGGUUGGUUAACGGGGCGGCGGUCUGGCUGUAAUUCCUGAUGAACCUUCGAUAAAAAUUAGCAAACCCCAAGAACCUCUGUAAAUGUUUCAGUGUGGACGGUGUGGGUCACUCCGUGACUGCUUGCACCUUCUCUGGAUCCGCCUUCAAACGCCCGCUCUCAUUGAUGAACCCCAAGAACUUAACAGUGGGGACCUGAAAAACACAUUUUUCGGCCUUGACGUACAGCCUGUUCUCUAACAGGCACUGAAAUACAGCUCUUACACGAUGGGUGUGUUGUUCCUUGGUUUUAGAAAAAAUCUAAAUGACGUCCAAAUACACUGUCACAAACGUGUUAAUGUAUUCACCCAACAUGGAGUUCUCUAAAGACUGAAACACUGCGGGUGCAUUGGUUAAUCCAAACGGCAUUACAAGGUACUCGAAAUGACCAAGGGGUAUCUUGAACGCCGUUUUCCACUUAUCCCCCUCUCUGAUUCUCACCAGAUGAUAGGCGUUCCUGAGGUCCAACCGGCUGAAUAUGGAGGCGUCCUGAAUAGGCUCAAAAGUGGAGGACAGUAACAGCAGAGGAUACUUAUUCUUCACUGUAAUCUGGUUAAAACCACUGUAAUUGAUGCAGGGCAUGAGUGACCCAUCCUUCUUGUGUUCAAAGAAAAACCCAGGUCCCAGAGGGGAAGAGGUCGGUCGUACGGUUCCAGCGGCCAAGCAGUCUUGGAUGUAAAGCUCCAUGCUUUCUCUCUCCGGCUUGGAGAGGUGAUAAAUAUGGCUGGACGGAAGGGGGAACCUGGCAAUAGAUCAAUCACACAGUCGAAGGGCCUGUGAGGAGUUACACCGCAAAGAAAGCUGCUUCCUUUGGAAUUGAGAAAAAGGCUUGACCAACACACGCCACGCUUGAUGGAUCUCUUUCGGUGCAAAGGAGGGACACUUGGAAAGAAAAUAAGAGGUCACAUGCUUGCCAUCUCUAAGCAUGACAACAUACACACCAGACGAGCAUGCAUCUUGAAGUCCUUGUGCACCUACCUAAACGAGGACAAUGAGAAGUUAAUAAAGGAGUACAUGGUGCUCCAGCUGCCUCAUGGGUCCUUUUGACAUUUACCUUGGAUUGGGCGUCUGUGAAUGUGAGAAGUUUUUUAUUUUUUAUGUAUUGUGAUUCCCCUAAAAGCUGAGCUGGAAGGAAGAGUAGUUCCCCUCAUGCAGCUUCUCAUCACUGUUCAGGAAAAACACCCAAGCUUCCCACUUUUGUAAGAAAAUAAAAUGUGUUUGAAUAAGUCCUCCAAGUCACUGUUACUUCCUUAUCAUGAAUGAAUGUUUCAUAUUCCUCAUACAUGCAUAAUUAGUUUGGUCUCCAGUCAGCCUGGAUGACCGAGUCAUUAACACUUCACAUGAUCAACAUCGUUUGAGAUGCAGGCAGUGGUCUGCAGAUCUAAGAGCAGGGUACAAUUAAUAUGCCACUGUUGUCUGGAAGACAAAGAAAGGCACGCUGACUUUAGCAUUUUGAUUUAGAAUGUUUCUACAAACAAAAGCCCAGAUUAUGUGCACAAACUCUUGAUAUAGUUAGGAGGAGACCUGCUCCCAAGUUACUAAACAGAACUAUCAUAUUGUCAAAAAUAAAUAAAUAAUAAAUAAAAUAAAAUAAAAAAAGCAGAAAGGGAGAGUCGAAAAGAUCUAUUUUGUAAAUGUUAGAAUAAUAGAGCUGUGAAAGUCUUGGAUUUCCGAGGUCUAAGUUGUUGUCAUGCUAAUUAUACUUUUACAAGCUGAUAAAUAUCAAAGUACAUGGCUGGCGUGGUCAUAACACACAUCAAUAGUUUUCAUUUAAAUUGCAGUACAACAUAUGCAGUUGGUUCGCUGGAGUUUUUGACAAUUAAAAAUGCGCCCACAUUUUCAAAGUUAAACACAUCUCUUUUAACAGUAGUUUCUGCAUCUUUACCGUUCCCCUGCUUCAGCCAUCUCCCCCCUCCCCCUGCGCAGCGGCCGCAAACUCAAGGAUGUGCCUGCAGCCUCUCAGAGUUGCUGCUCUAAACAUUAAAAUAAUUAUUUCAUUUUCUGUUCCUCACUUCUUACCUUCAAUGGUGUCUGUUUGUUGCAACCACCAGGUACAAAAACUAACUUGUUUUUAUUUGACUAUUUUCCCGUCAUGUCUGUUUAUCAUCUUCCUGCAUCUCCCCUCAAUCCUAAAGAAGAACUGCUACCUGGCUUCAUAAAUAUUCACCUUAUGAGUUACCUUUGAACUGCAGCUCUAAAAGAUCUACUGUCCGCAAAAACAGCGGAGUGUGUGCCGGCCGCACCGGUGAGGUGAAGUCACCAGAGGACAAAACAGGUGAUGCGCUCCGCUCCACAGCAGUGAAAAGCACCAGGCACAAAUAAAAGACAGAAAACAUAAAAGGAAAUGAGCCGACAUGAACGAUCGUGUGUUAAAUUUGUUUUUGAGGUGGCAACACCUAAUUUGAUAAUGUUACUGUGGCCGUGCUCAGUACGCAGAUGUCUGGAGCGCGU
Non-coding RNA from Nothobranchius furzeri (turquoise killifish), 3163 nucleotides. NCBI's taxonomy places the organism in Eukaryota, Metazoa, Chordata, Actinopteri, Cyprinodontiformes, Nothobranchiidae. The record is from RefSeq and is a predicted model, not a curated record.